RNAcentral lists this ribosomal RNA (233 nucleotides) under uncultured bacterium. RNAcentral's name for it is "partial 16S ribosomal RNA". It matches the Rfam family "Bacterial small subunit ribosomal RNA", at positions 103 to 334 of the family's 1533-position model. The record is from RNAcentral.
CGGGUGAGUAACGCGUGAGGAACCUGCCUCGAAGAGGGGGACAACAGUUGGAAACGACUGCUAAUACCGCAUAAGCCCACGGCUCGGCAUCGAGCAGAGGGAAAAGGAGUGAUCCGCUUUGAGAUGGCCUCGCGUCCGAUUAGCUAGUUGGUGAGGUAACGGCCCACCAAGGCGACGAUCGGUAGCCGGACUGAGAGGUUGAACGGCCACAUUGGGACUGAGACACGGCCCAG